This 60-nucleotide transfer RNA is filed under the name Plectus aquatilis. RNAcentral describes it as "tRNA-Trp". The record is from RNAcentral. Lineage: Eukaryota; Metazoa; Nematoda; Chromadorea; Plectida; Plectidae.
UUUAAGCUAUGUAAAUAUAAACUAUUGGACUUCAAAUCUAAAACACACUUCUGUUUGGGU